UAGGGAAUAUUAGUAAUGGGCGAAAGCCUGAACUAGCAACGCCGCGUGUGCGAAGAAGGCCUUCGGGUUGUAAAGCACUUUUUGAGAGGAUGAGGAAGGACGGUACUCUCAGAAUAAGUCUCGGCUAACUACGUGCCAGCAGCCGCGGUAACACGUAGGAGGCGAACGUUAUCCGGAUUUACUGGGCGUAAAGCGCGUGUAGGUGGUUUGGUAAGUAGGGCGUGAAAGCUCCUGGCUCAACUGGGAGAGGCCGUUCUAAACUGCCGAAAUAGAGGAUGGGAGGGGGAGGGGGAAUAGGGGGGGUAGGGGGGGAAUGCGCAGAUAUCCGGAGGAACACCAGUGGCGAAAGCGGCCUCGUGGACCAUUCCUGACACUCAGACGCGAAAGCUAGGGU
This 394-nucleotide ribosomal RNA is filed under the name uncultured bacterium. RNAcentral describes it as "partial 16S ribosomal RNA". It matches the Rfam family "Bacterial small subunit ribosomal RNA", at positions 355 to 766 of the family's 1533-position model. The record is from RNAcentral.